AAGAGAGUACAGAUAUUAACAUUAAUCAUGAUGGAUCUUCAAAGACCAGGCUUCAUCAUUCCUAAAAUCUCUUUCCUCUGGUCAUUCAGAUAACCCUUAAUUAUUAUUAUGUAAAUGAUUGUUAUGUAAGACAUGCUGCCAACAGUAACACCCUUGCUUACCAUGUUAUCGAAAAUUGCCGUUACUUCGUCACGUUCUAAAGCCUAAUCGGUCCAUGUAGAAGUGCACCUC
This 231-nucleotide long non-coding RNA is filed under the name Elaeis guineensis (African oil palm). Its description in RNAcentral is "long non-coding RNA (EGUI_LNC002385)". Lineage: Eukaryota; Viridiplantae; Streptophyta; Magnoliopsida; Arecales; Arecaceae. The record is from RNAcentral.